Parambassis ranga (Indian glassy fish) is the source of this 1376-nucleotide long non-coding RNA. The record is from Ensembl. Lineage: Eukaryota; Metazoa; Chordata; Actinopteri; Ambassidae.
CUCUCUCAGACAGUGAAGUCUGCUCUGUGAGGAGUUCUGCACUGUUCAGUUUUCACCUUCAUCAUGGCUGGACGCCUGCUGUUCCUCAUCCUCAUGUAUUCUUUUCAUGAGAUUGAAGCACAAGGUCUUCCUCCACCUAAACUAACAGUGUAUCCAACAGAGAUCAGAGUCACAGACUCAGUCACAUUACGCUGUGAGGCUCCAUCAUCUGUUUCUGUGUCUCAGUGUUAUUUCUACACUGUGACUGGAAAAGAUCAGAAACCUUUGUCCUGUCUGAAGACACUGACAGGAGCUGAGCUGCUGGAAAUGUCACGUCAGAGUUCACCUGCUCAGGUUGAAGUCACAUGUUUUUAUGUUGGAAAAUGGAAUUAUGCGUCUCAAGUCAGUGACAAGACCUCCAUCACUGUACUGAGUGAGUGACUGAUUUAUGUGUUUGUUAUCAUACUGUACAAGAAAACAUUACAAUACCACUGCUGCCAUCAUUCUGGUAAUCAGAAGUUUUUAUUAGUUUUGUUGGUUGACUGAACUUUAUUCAAGUUAUUAUAAUACAAACAGUCUUUAAUCUGCUAUAAUUUAUGUACAGCUGCUUUUUGUCACUGAUACAAUUUAACAUGAAAUAUUUUAAUUAUAUUCUGCUGUACAUCACAGUGUCUCAUUAGAUAUUUCACCCUGAGUCUACUAUAUAUAAUAUGACUUGCUCUGAUUUUUCAGGUCUUCCUCCACCUAAACUAACAGUGUAUCCAGCAGAGAUCACAGUCACAGACUCAGUCAGAUUACGCUGUGAGGCUCCAUCAUCUGUUUCUGUGUCUCAGUGUUAUUUCUACACUGGAAAAACUCAGAAACAUUUGUCCUGUCAGGAGACACUGACAGGAGCUGAGCUGCUGUUCAUGUCACAUCAGAGUUCACCUGCUCAGGUUGAAGUCAGUUGUUAUUAUGAUGGAAAUGGGAAUCAUGCGUCUCCAUACAGUGACAAAACCUCCAUCACUGUACUGAGUCCAAAACCAGAGAUGAGUGUUCAUCGUGAUGAUGAAAAUGUUCUCUUCACUUGCUCUCUGCCUGGAUCUGUCAAUCAAAACACAAAAUGUAACCUGUACUUUGGAGAAGAAAGUCGUCCAGCAAUAACAACAAACGCCUGGAAACAAAGGAGCUCAAAAAACAAACAGUUCUGCCAGUUUACUGUCCCAGUAGAAGAUUUACUGAGACGUCUACGUUUAGUUCAACAAAAAGAUGCCAGCUGUGACUACAGUGUGGAGCGUGAACCAAAGUCUUUGUCUCCUCGCAGUGAUGGAAAAAACCUGACAUACUUCAUAGAAAAAGAAUCACAUGUGACCAGAACAGAGUCAACAUUUACAGGUAGGUCAUUUUAUAAACAGUGA